AUGGAUCGCCAAGCCUACCACACCGACCCAUCUCGUCGCCCCCGCUCCAGCCACAAGGUCAUCAUCGCCACGCCGGCCAUUGAGCACCAGGAGUUCCUCCUCCGUAAGCAUGCGCUGGUGCUCACGGCGGCAGUGUCCCAGCAUGCCGCCAACCCCAUGGCGGUGGGCUGGGCCAUCGAAGAGCAGCUGCACACGCCUCCCCACCUGCUGCGCGUCACCAGCCACGACCCAGGGGACUUCUUCGUCCACUUCGAGCUUCCAGCGCACAAGGAGAACGCAGUCCGCCGCGGGCAUGUCAAGGUGGACGGCGUCGUGUUCGCAAUCAAGGGCUGGCACGAGGACCACCAUGACAUGCCAGACGGCUGCAAGCUCCAUGUCCGCGUGGUCAUCGAGAGGAUUCCCAUGCAGCUCUGGUCGUUGGAGGGCGCCGUCGAAGUGCUGGGCGACCUCUGCAUCAUGGACCGCCUCGACAGCCGCACCCACGAGCGCGGGCACACCAGGUCGUUUGCCUGCUGGGUGUGGGUCUCCGACAUCGCGCACAUCCCCACCAAGCGUAUCAUCUGGCGCGCGGCGCGGGGCGCGGACCGGGUGGAGGCCAUGCUUGGUUUCUCGCCACCAAGUCGCGCCGCCCCCUGGCGUCAAGUGCUGUGA
RNAcentral lists this ribosomal RNA (651 nucleotides) under Triticum aestivum (bread wheat). RNAcentral describes it as "partial small subunit ribosomal RNA". The record is from RNAcentral. Lineage: Eukaryota; Viridiplantae; Streptophyta; Magnoliopsida; Poales; Poaceae.